GUCUAUGGCCAGGUUACCCUGAACAAGCUCGAUCCCGUCUGAUCUCGGAAACUAAGCAGGGUUGGGCCUGGUUAGUACUUGGAUGGGAGACCACCUAGGGAGACCAGGUGCUAUAGGUA
RNAcentral lists this ribosomal RNA (119 nucleotides) under Pteropus alecto (black flying fox). The record is from RNAcentral. Lineage: Eukaryota; Metazoa; Chordata; Mammalia; Chiroptera; Pteropodidae.